Raphanus sativus (radish) is the source of this 966-nucleotide long non-coding RNA. RefSeq lists it as uncharacterized. The record is from RefSeq and is a predicted model, not a curated record. The transcript is spliced from 3 exons. NCBI's taxonomy places the organism in Eukaryota, Viridiplantae, Streptophyta, Magnoliopsida, Brassicales, Brassicaceae.
CUAUUAAAACUGAAGUACAAUUAAUACUUAACCCUGAUUUUUCCUAAAUAUUUACCAUUCUAUGCCAUUGGAUUAUCAUUAUACACAGUCGUUUUUAACUGAGGAAACUCUACCUAAUAAAUUAAACGUGUUCUUAAAGGGAGAGAAGCAAUUACAUUAAGGGUACUUUAGUACUUGAUUACAUUAACCUAAUAUACUCUUAUUUGAUAGAACCUUGGCGAUUAAAGGGAGAUAGGUGAGUGAUGAAGAUCGUGUUGUUUCCAUUAACGGCGUCCUUAUGUUCAUCAUCUUGCGGUUGGAGUCUUGGAGCUUCUAAGACACUGGAAGAGAUUAGACUCUGGAGAUUUUUCCAAUCUAGAACAAUUUGAGUGAAGGGGAUGUGUUUUAAAAAUGUAAAGGUGCGAUGGAAUACAAUUCAGCAAACUUUGCAUACUAUCAACAUUCAAUAGUGUGCCAUUUUAACUCAAUUCUUUCUCUCUUUUGAUAUACCAUUCCAUGUUUCCGAAAUAGUGUUCAUUUUUGCUUGUAAGCACAGGUACGAGAAGAACUUGCGAAAAAGGAUUUCGAAAAUUUAAAGCAAGACAGUGCUGAUAUAGAACCACAAAACCAUCCACAACAAUAGCAGCCAAAAGUUUUCAGAAAACGCUUAUAGCAGUUAACAACUUCAAUCAGCUUUGAAUGACCGUACUACUGAAAUUUCAGCUAAUGCGCUAUCUUUGACAAAUAGCUGUAAUAAAUUUUUAGUGCUUAAAGAAAAAGAAAAAGUUUUUAGUGCUUUGCUAAAAAAAUAUUUAAUAAAAUAGUUAAAUAUAAAACAUAUAUAAACAAUUACAAAAAUGAGAAAAAACUUGCGCGGAUCGAUAUAGUGGUCAAAAUCUAAUGGAUUUUGAAACAAUUUUAUAUAGUCUUUAAUAACUUGGUAAAUGAAUGUAGAAUGUGUUUUUGCUUAAAUUAAUUUAGUUAAGA